CCGCACAUCCAGGUGGUAGAACCACUUCUGUUUCAAAGAUGGACUGGGGAAAGACAUUAAGUUUGGAGCAGCUCAGGGCUACGGAUCUAGCCUUUCUCCCUCGGGUCUCCAGGCUCACUUAGGUCCAAGCUGCGGAGCAGGGACAGCGGAGCCCAGGCAGCCACGUUCAGGCCCAGCCACCAGAAUGUUCUGUUCGAUGCCAUUUAUCCUUGAUGAUAGAAAAUUGCGCUGUUGCCAGGACGCUGCCGCCGCCGCCGAAAUAGAGGGCAGGAGCCGCGUUUCCAUUUUCCGGCU
RNAcentral lists this long non-coding RNA (294 nucleotides) under Cricetulus griseus (Chinese hamster). RNAcentral's name for it is "lncRNA (ENSCGRG00015042268.1)". Lineage: Eukaryota; Metazoa; Chordata; Mammalia; Rodentia; Cricetidae. The record is from RNAcentral.